Long non-coding RNA from Neogobius melanostomus (round goby), 3141 nucleotides. NCBI's taxonomy places the organism in Eukaryota, Metazoa, Chordata, Actinopteri, Gobiiformes, Gobiidae. The record is from Ensembl.
CAUGUGUCUAAUUUUGGUUAGGACAAUGUGCUUUCAUCCAUGAACACUUGAGUAGCAUUGCUUUUUUUCCUCUGCAGCAAUGGGAACAGCAGUAGCUGGAGCAGUUUGGGCUUGGAGGGAGAGGCAUGUGAGGAGCGCCUGUCUUCCCCCUCAGACAGCAGUGACCACUUGGAGGACAAGGAGACGGAGAUGAAAGAAGAAUCUAGCGCGACCGUUCGUAUAGACAGGACAGAGGUGCAGGCUCCCAGGAAUGUGCUGGUUAUCCUGAACUCUGAGGUACCGGAGCGUGGGCGUGGCCAUUUCAACAUCACCCUUGACCCUCAGCUUAGGAGCAUGCUGCAGUGGGUUGCGCCUCCAUGGCAGACGUAACCCAGAUCCAGCUCAGUCCUGACAGAGAGCUGCAUCAGCUGCCAGCAGUGGUCCAGAAGCUGCGUGAGAAAAGGUGGCGGGUGGGAGAGCUGCUCCACACACUGCUGCGCUACUGUGAGGAGAGCCAGGCCCAGAGCCAGCCCCAACCCAGAGAGGAGAGUUUCCACGCGGGUAGAGAAUCCACCCGCACCCCCCUGUUCCAGUGGCUCCUGGAUCAUGCCUAGGGUCCAUUCUUUUCUCGGCUUUCCUCUUACUUUUCAAAUAGGGCUUUGCAAAUUCCAUUACUGGCUCUAGAGGGCAGCAUACAAAUGUGUGUGAUAGUAUUUUACGUCGCAUGUUUUGCCACAGAUUUCUAUAUUCCUACUUUCUGGGUUCUUUUUAAUUAUUAUUAUUUAUUAAGCUGUUACCUGUUUUGGUUUGAUGAACUCACCCAACAUAUAAUGCAUUUGUAUUGAACCCUCACUUCUAAUGCAACAGAAAGAGUUGGGGAGAAAAACAGGGACCCAGCCCUUAAGUCUCUCUAACUGAGAUGCAGGGACUGAAGAAGUAUGUUUUUGUUAGGGAAUCCCCAUUGCUGUGGGGGCCGAUGAUGUCACCCACCACAGCUCACCUUUGUGGUGGUGUUUCCACAUGUUAUGAGGCCUACAGUGCAAUCACUUACACACCACACCCUUUCAUUAUCACCGAUAAAACAAGCCCCAUACGUCUGACAAUAAUAUCGGUUACCCCCAUCGUUUGCCAUUGAUGUAGUAUUCUUUUUACUUUCCCAGCAAAUCAUUAUUUGCCUCUUUAGUUUUCUGUAAUUUGCAUAUUGUUGUGAAAUGCUGAACGCUCUGACACUAAAUAUAUUCUGAGACUGGCACAAGAAGUACAGUGGCCUUGUGAUCCUUGUAAACAAUUGUAGUAUGUUCACUGUAAUCUACUCAACGUUUGUGAUUGUUCUGUGACCAGUCAUGGGUUAUUUUGUCACUUUAAAACCUAGAAGUCGAUUUGUUGCUUUUGUAAUUAUAUUGAUUAUCACAUAUUUCAUCCAUCAAAUGAAUGAAGAAAAAUCAUUAUGAAGUUGCCUAUUGUUAAUGUGCAAAUCUCUACUGUGCAAUUGCUUGCCUAGCAACAAUCUUGUUUUUGAAACUUAGUAAAAAAAAACAUGGAGCAAGUGGUGUUUGGUAGUGCUAUCUAAAAAUGUUUUUUUUAUAUAUAUAUAUAUAUAUAUAAUAUAUAUAUAAUGAAGGUAUAUAGAAACAAACUUAAAUGCUGCUGAGUUGAGAAAGAAGCCAUGAUAUAGGCUUAGAGUUGCCAAAUGUUACUUCUGACGUGACUCUUCUCCUUUUCCGGUGACUACAGUGUGUAAAGUACGUGUAUGUAUGUGUCAGUGGACUGUAUUGGGAUGAUCCAGUGACGCAGGACAGUGUGUUUUAUCUAAUUAAAAACAGUGAUCUGCUGCUCUGAAACCACACUUUAACGAACAUGUGCAUAGUUCUACGCUGGGCUCACAGGUCACCCACGCUUCUCUGUGCAAUGAAGGAAUGCACAAACCCCACAACAACUGUUACUCACCCACCCCUACGCACUCCUAACUACGAAGAAGCACUUUUCUCUUUUCAAGCAGUGCCCAGCUGUCCUUAGACAUCCCUUGAUAAUCCUUUGUGAAGGUGUAAAUGCCAUCCCCAGGGGCUCCCAGACUUUUCAGUUCACGACCUCCAAAAUUAAUUACAAACAACCGGGACCCCCGCAGUCAAAAAAGUAAAUAAAAAUAUAGACAAUAUCAAGCAAAAAAAGAAUAAUAUGCAUUUACAUUGUUUACUUUUUGUCUUGAAAUCAUCUUGGGACCAUCAGCCCUGUGCUCGUGAACCCCACUUUGGGAACCACUGCUCUAGAGACCCAAACUUUAUUGUUUAUGUAUGGUUUUAUUUUGGGACCUUGCUAUAUCAUUGAUGCACACAGCCAAAUUCAGGAAGUAGCUUUGCAGUUUUUGAAAACUGUAGUAUACCACAGCCUCAUGUAUUAUUAUACAUUUUUGUUGACAGUGUUGACUUGGAUGGCAGUAUCAUCAGUGAAUAUUUCAAAUCAAAUUAUUCGUUUUAUUGUAUUGGGCGACACAGUAAUUGAGCUGCAGUGAUUAUGUCCAUGUUCACUACCCACAAUGUCCACACUAUUUGCCACUGGAUAUAAUUCAGUAACGUGUUGAAUCCAAUCAGAAUGCCUAUCAAAUGAAGAGAGAAAACAUAUAAGGGUCCACCAAGAUUUUUUUCUUCCUUGGACCAGGAAUUUCCUGUCAUAUCUCUGAUCGUAUUAGUAAUAUUAUGAGUAACCGGAGCUUGCUCUUAACUUUAUUUGCUCAUUGGUCAUUGUGGCUAGUUUUUAGGCUUUGCAUUUGCUACAAUUCGUCUUUUAAAACUUUUUUGGCUAAAUUUGUUCUGGAAUUCAGGCCCAUCUCCAAACUGUGUCACUGACCAAAAUGAAAAUCUAUCUGCGUUGGCUUGUUGGUUGUAGAGUUAAUGUUUAGCUCUGGUUACUAUACGAGAUGUCAAAAUUAGGCCUUUACAUUGCUGCUCUUUCUUUCCCAGACAUGAGCACUGGUGGAAGCAUGUCUGUCACCCGGAAUAUUAGCAGACCUUUCACAAUUUUACCGCAUCAACAUUAAUCUUUUAUCAAGUGUUUUCUUAAAGUACGAGUUGGACGUUAAGUCAAAUUUUGUGUCAAGUAGUUUUAAUAAACUUCUGCUUCCAGUGAAAAAGGUAUUCCGAAUGACAUGCCAAAAUAAAUGAGUUU